Molecule: ribosomal RNA, 69 nt
Filed under: Andricus notholithocarpi
Lineage: Eukaryota; Metazoa; Arthropoda; Insecta; Hymenoptera; Cynipidae
Description: partial 5.8S ribosomal RNA
Source: RNAcentral
AACAUCGACAUUUCGAACGCACAUUGCGGUCCACGGAUACAAUUCCCGGACCACGCCUGGCUGAGGGUC